This 171-nucleotide small RNA is filed under the name Fukomys damarensis (Damara mole-rat). Its description in RNAcentral is "7SK RNA (ENSFDAG00000002362.1)". The record is from RNAcentral. Lineage: Eukaryota; Metazoa; Chordata; Mammalia; Rodentia; Bathyergidae.
UCCUUCCCCAAGCCGUGCACUUAGUCAAAGAGGAUGACCAUUCCCAAUAGAGGAAAACCAUUUUCCUUAUUCAAAGUCAUGGUGUUUGAGUAGCCAUGCUCCCCUGUUAGAACCUCCAAAGAGGCUCGAAGGGCUAAGAGCCAUUCCAGGGCUUAGGAUGCAGUGUUGAGC